AGAGUUUGAUCCUGGCUCAGGAUCAACGCUGGCGGCGUGCCUAAUGCAUGCAAGUCGGACGGGUGGUCUUUCGGGGCCAUCACGUGGCGGACGGGUGCGGAACGCGUGGGCAAGCUGCCCUGGGGCGGGGGACAGCCGGUGGAAACGCCGGGCAAUUCCGCGUACGCUGAUUCGCCGGUGGGGCGGGUCAGGAAAGGCCCUGCGGGGUCGCCCUGGGAGGCGCCUGCGGCCGAUUAGCUGGUUGGGGGGGUAACGGCCUCCCAAGGCGAUGAUCGGUAGCUGGUCUGAGAGGACGGCCAGCCACACGGGGACUGAGACACGGCCCCGACUCCUACGGGAGGCAGCAGCAAGGAAUCUUCCGCAAUGGGCGCAAGCCUGACGGAGCAACGCCGCGUGGGGGAUGACACCCUUCGGGGCGUAAACCCCUUUUCUUCCGGAAGAAGCCGGAGCGAUCCGGUUGACGGUACGGGAGGAAGAAGGCCCGGCUAACCACGUGCCAGCAGCCGCGGUAAUACGUGGGGGCCGAGCGUUGUCCGGAGUUACUGGGCGUAAAGGGCGCGCAGGCGGCGGCGUGGGUCCGGCGUGAAAGCCCCCGGCUCAACCGGGGAAGGUCGUCGGGGACCGCGCCGCUUGAGGGCGGCAGGGGCCGGUGGAAUGCCUGGUGUAGUGGUGAAAUGCGUAGAGAUCAGGCGGAACACCCGUGGCGAAGGCGGCCGGCUGGGCCGACCCUGACGCUGAGGCGCGAAGGCGUGGGGAGCGAACGGGAUUAGAUACCCCGGUAGUCCACGCAGUAAACGAUGCCGA
This 804-nucleotide ribosomal RNA is filed under the name uncultured Chloroflexota bacterium. RNAcentral describes it as "bacterial SSU rRNA". It matches the Rfam family "Bacterial small subunit ribosomal RNA", at positions 8 to 815 of the family's 1533-position model. The record is from RNAcentral. Lineage: Bacteria; Bacillati; Chloroflexota.